Molecule: transfer RNA, 64 nt
Filed under: pig gut metagenome
Rfam family: tRNA
About the family: Transfer RNA (tRNA) molecules are approximately 80 nucleotides in length. Their secondary structure includes four short double-helical elements and three loops (D, anti-codon, and T loops). Further hydrogen bonds mediate the characteristic L-shaped molecular structure. tRNAs have two regions of fundamental functional importance: the anti-codon, which is responsible for specific mRNA codon recognition, and the 3' end, to which the tRNAs corresponding amino acid is attached (by aminoacyl-tRNA synthetases). tRNAs cope with the degeneracy of the genetic code in two manners: having more than one tRNA (with a specific anti-codon) for a particular amino acid; and 'wobble' base-pairing, i.e. permitting non-standard base-pairing at the 3rd anti-codon position.
Source: RNAcentral
GAGUGGCUCAGUGGUGGAGCAUCUGCUUCCCAAGCAGAGGGUCGCGGGUUCGAGUCCCGUCUCG